AUUGAACGCUGGCGGCAGGCCUAACACAUGCAAGUCGAGCGGCAGCNCGGGUACUUGUACCUGGUGGCGAGCGGCGGACGGGUGAGUAAUNCNUAGGAAUCUGCCUGGUAGUGGGGGAUAACGCUCGGAAACGGACGCUAAUACCGCAUACGUCCUACGGGAGAAAGCAGGGGACCUUCGGGCCUUGCGNUAUCAGAUGAGCCUAGGUCGGAUUAGCUAGUUGGUGAGGUAAUGGCUCACCAAGGCGACGAUCCGUAACUGGUNUGAGAGGAUGAUCAGUCACACUGGAACUGAGACACGGUCCANACUCCUACGGGAGGCAGCAGUGGGGAAUAUUGGACAAUGGGNGAAAGCCUGAUCCAGCCAUGCCGCGUGUGUGAAGAAGGUCUUCGGAUUGUAAAGCACUUUAAGUUGGGAGGAAGGGCAUUUACCUAAUACGUAAGUGUUUUGACG
This 453-nucleotide ribosomal RNA is filed under the name Pseudomonas sp. NN018584. RNAcentral's name for it is "bacterial SSU rRNA". It matches the Rfam family "Bacterial small subunit ribosomal RNA", at positions 30 to 474 of the family's 1533-position model. The record is from RNAcentral. Lineage: Bacteria; Pseudomonadati; Pseudomonadota; Gammaproteobacteria; Pseudomonadales; Pseudomonadaceae.